This 2005-nucleotide unclassified non-coding RNA is filed under the name Leishmania donovani. Its description in RNAcentral is "gene:LdHU3.24.2140(CDS-product:SpoU_rRNA_Methylas e_family_putative)". Lineage: Eukaryota; Euglenozoa; Kinetoplastea; Trypanosomatida; Trypanosomatidae. The record is from RNAcentral.
CACACACAAUACCCCCCCCCACUGUGUGGCGUGAAGGAGUAGCCGCUGCAUUGUUCUCCUCAUCCUCCUAUUACACCCGUGUGGCUUUCAUUGCGGACUCUCUGAGGCCGGCAUGAUCGCCCUCUCGCAUUGUUGUCUGCGAUAUGUGCCACGGCGACCGCCGGCGUUCGGCAAAGUCGUUGGAGGUGGUACUCGGCUACGGCGCACAAGCGCGCCGGCACCACGGCAACGCAAUCAAGAGACAGCUGCAGAUGCGGAGACGGUGGCGGAGGCCGAGGUUGUCGCCGCCUUCACCUCGACAUUGGAGGACGCCAAGCUUGCAGCCGCAGACAUCCCCCACAGAGCUCAGACGUCGCCGCCGCACCUGCAGCCUCACCGGGCGGCUGCCUAUAAAUCACUGCCGCCCCAUCUGCGGUUCCGUGCGCUUUCCAAGCCGGUGGUCCUCGAGGACGUGCAGGACACCUAUGCCAUCACGCCAACGCAGGAAGUGCACGGCCAGCAGCUGUGGACAGCCACAAAGGUGCUGCGCUCCAGCAAGCAUAUUCGCAAGGCGAAUGCCACAUGCGUCGUGGGAGGUGCCAGUGCGAUCCGACGCAUCUGGCGCACGUACAAUAUCCGACCGAAUGUCGUGUAUGUGCCGAACACUGAUUCCGGAGUACCGACGUGGUGCCUCGAGGAGGAGCUGCCGACGGUGAUUGUGCGUUGCUCGCCUGUGGCGGUAAGGCGGCACCUGUUGAGCGCCGAGUACAGCGACGGCUACGCUGCCGAGUUCCCGCUGCCAGUGAACUGCGUCACAGAUGCCACAGCACUGCUGGCUCCACCACCGGAGCCGGCUCAAAGUGAGACCGCGGUGCCAAGCACGGGCGACACGUCAUCAUCGCUGUCAGCGAAGCUCUCGGCGACAGGACCGCCGGUAGCUCGCCCUCUGCACGACCCCUUCGGCCACCACGCUGUGGGAGCCAUGCUUGUGUUGGUGGGGCUGCGCAUCCCCAGCAACGUGGGGACUUUGCUGCGUGCCGCUGCAGAUAUGGGCUACGACGCUGCCGUACUCGUCAGCUGCGCCGACCCGACGCAGGAGAAGGUGUUGCGCGCGAGCGAUGGCACCGCGCUGAGCCCGACCCUGCGCAUCUACGAGACGGAGACGACGGAGCAGGCGUGCGUGUCGCUACUCUCCAGCAUCGCGGCGCAGCAUCACCUCAUGCCGUUUCUGGCGGUGCCGUCGCAGGAGGUCGAGUCUGCUUUUGAGGUAGCGAAGCGUUUCCAUGUCUAUAACGCCAAAAGCAAGGAAGCGGCCACGUCGCAGGUCAGUGGAGGUGCGGCGGCAGGUCACAGUGACGGCCUCUGCGCCGCUCCGACGAAGCAGCUCGGCGCAAUGGUCAUCCUCGGAUCGGAGGCGCAGGGGCUGCGCGGCCUGAACGGCAGGUGGGGUGUGCCCUACCAGUUGGUGACGCUGCCACUGUCUAACCCGAUGGUAGACUCGUUAAACGUGAGUGUGGCAGGGUCGGUGCUGAUGCAUCUGUUCCGCCCCAGCGCAGCGUCGCAUUUCACGCGGCUCGUGGCGCUCUCAGGAGAAGCAGUCGGCGACUUGUUACCGCCACCUGUAACAGAUGACGAUGACAAUGAGAGUGAUCACCACGCGGAAACCGACGAGGCGGAGGCAAGUCCCCUCUAGACGGCUGUGCAAGCGGGAGUUGCAGAGCAAAAAUGUUCACACAAGGAGAAACACACCAAACCCCGUCCCAGCAUGAUGGCAUCGAGUACGCGCCUCUCAUCUUUCAGCCUCCACCUCCGUCAUCACACGUCUGCCGGCUGUGCACGUACCUGGCGUUUAUGUAUGCGUGCCCCUCUCCAAGUCGUGUGCUGGCCUCAAGAGAAGGAAGCGGUGGUGGUGACGGUUGGCCUGCGCCGCCACACACACACACACACACACACUCGCGCCCUUUCACAGAUGCAGUGGCACUCGUUAGUAUUGAUCACACGCUACUCAAUCAUGCAUGCGUGCUGU